GCAUUGGUGGUUCAGUGGUAGAAUUCUCACCUUUCACGCUGGAGACCCGGAUUCAAUUGCCGGCAAGUGCA
This 71-nucleotide transfer RNA is filed under the name Loxodonta africana (African savanna elephant). It matches the Rfam family "tRNA". Rfam says of the family: Transfer RNA (tRNA) molecules are approximately 80 nucleotides in length. Their secondary structure includes four short double-helical elements and three loops (D, anti-codon, and T loops). The record is from Rfam by way of RNAcentral. Lineage: Eukaryota; Metazoa; Chordata; Mammalia; Proboscidea; Elephantidae.